Molecule: non-coding RNA, 21 nt
Filed under: Arabidopsis thaliana (thale cress)
Lineage: Eukaryota; Viridiplantae; Streptophyta; Magnoliopsida; Brassicales; Brassicaceae
Source: RNAcentral
AGUGUGAUUGACAUGCCUAAG